RNAcentral lists this unclassified non-coding RNA (1550 nucleotides) under Exaiptasia diaphana. RNAcentral's name for it is "uncharacterized LOC110241478, transcript variant X1". The record is from RNAcentral. Lineage: Eukaryota; Metazoa; Cnidaria; Anthozoa; Actiniaria; Aiptasiidae.
AACAAAAUGGCGGCAGAUUUGGAUUUGAGAAAAAUAGACGAGAAAGCAAUCACAAAUUUACAGGCUCAUGUUCGUGGUGCAUUUGUGCGAUCAAAGCUAGAUGAAGUGCGACAAGAGUUCGAAAAUAUUGUUCACGAAUUGGACGGGCCAAGUUUUCGUGUUUUGUGGAAUUCAAAAACUUUAUCAUUUCCUUUGGUCACAAACAAUAUUGAAAAGGACGAAGAAAUACCCACCUUUGAUAGGCAAACAGGCAAAAACGAGGAAAUCGAGACUGCAGAGACCAGUAGUGAUGAUCAGGACCAAACAAUUACAUUAGAAAAUGUUGAAAACCUAAAUGUUAGCAAAGACAAGCUGACCCACAAUUCAUNUACGGAGUCAGUUAGACAAAAUCUUGAAGGAAGAUUUGACAUGGCACAUACCAAAGAUAUAGAGUGGACUGUUAGCAAAGAAGGCAAAAGAGAUCCUCUAAAUGAUGUUGAUACUUUGUCAGAAGAUUCAAGCGAUUUUGCAUCUGCAAAGGAUUUUGAGAUGUCUAAGCACAAUUUGAAUGCGAAAGAUUCUGAAUAUGAGAAUGCAAAGGAUUCUGGGAGUGGAAAAUUUCAUCCAAUAAAGGAUUCUGGGUACCUUGGAGUUUCUGGGAGUAUCAAAAAUGAUGCCAAAACUGCAUUUUUUGAGGAUGCAAAAGAUUUGGAUAAUGUAAAGGAUUUUGAAAGCACCAGGAAUCAAGAGAACCCUAAUGUUUCAGUGAAAACAAAGGAUUCUGGGCAUUCAAUUGCAAAGGAUCAUGGGUAUCUACAUGCAAAGGAUUCUGGGAGUAACACAACCUCUGUGAACUGCCAAUCAGGAAUGACAAGUCCUGUCUUCUCGCAACAUAGUACACCCGUACCAACACAGAACACUAGAAUUAACAGACACCUUGAGGGACACCCAGUACUUACAGAGAGUUGGAUGACUGACAAGUCCUUUGACCCAGUCAGAAGUGAUGAAGCAAGCANCAUAUCAGACCUGUCUGUCAGCGACUUACAACAUAGACGAGAGCAGGUUUCCAUGGAGUUGCUAUGGACACAGCAGGCUAUUGAGAGUCGGAAAAACUACCUGAGACUUAAAAAGAAAAUAGAACAGAGGACUGACUCAGAAUAAGACUAAUCCUAAGGACAACUGAGUCUUGAAAGGGACAAAAAUGGGAAGAAAUAGAACAAAAGCCUGACUUAGAAUAAAACUAAUCCCUAAGGACAAUUGAGUCUUAAAAGAGAAAAAUGGGAAGAAAUGGUCAAGGAAGUUUGAAACACAGUGUAUCAUGGGAUAUCUGUUUAACCACAAGGCAUCUUGGGUAAUCUGGAGACUUUAAUGUAUAUCAUUGACUUAAGAGUGUCGAAAGAUUGCAUCGAUCAGUAGAUCACAAUGGUAGUAAUUGUUUUGAAUUGUGGUUUUAAUUUUAAAAAUGAUAGAAUGGCAGUCAAAAAUUUCAGAAGGGAGUAGAAAGUAAGAAAUAAUGGAUCUGGCAGGAAACAGUUUUAACACAAUUUACUGAACCAAUAUGUAUCCGAACG